RNAcentral lists this ribosomal RNA (473 nucleotides) under uncultured bacterium. RNAcentral describes it as "partial 16S ribosomal RNA". It matches the Rfam family "Bacterial small subunit ribosomal RNA", at positions 30 to 507 of the family's 1533-position model. The record is from RNAcentral.
AGUGAACGCUGGCGGUAGGCCUAACACAUGCAAGUCGAACGGCAGCACAGUAAGAGCUUGCUACUACGGGUGGCGAGUGGCGGACGGGUGAGGAAUACAUCGGAAUCUACUUUUUCGUGGGGGAUAACGUAGGGAAACUUACGCUAAUACCGCAUACGACCUACGGGUGAAAGCAGGUGAUCUUCGGACCUUGCGCGAGUGGAUGAGCGGGCGUCGGAUUAGCUAGUUGGCGGGGUAAAGGCCCACCAAGGCGACGAUCGGUAGCUGGGCUGAGAGGGUGAAAGGCGACAGUGGGACUGAGAUAAGGCCCAGAUGCCGACGGGAGGAAGAAGUGGGGAAUAUUGCACAAUGGGCGCAAGCCGGAUGCAGAAAGGCCGCGUGCGGGAUGACGGCUUUCGGGUUGUAAACAGCUUUCAGCAGGGACGAAGCUUGUUGCGACGGUACCUGCAGAAGAAGCACCGGCUAACUACGUG